Molecule: ribosomal RNA, 259 nt
Filed under: uncultured bacterium
Lineage: Bacteria
Description: partial 16S ribosomal RNA
Rfam family: Bacterial small subunit ribosomal RNA
Source: RNAcentral
GUCCACGCAGUAAACGAUGAUAACUCGUUGCCGGCGAUACACAGUCGGUGACUUAGCGAAAGCGUUAAGUUAUCCACCUGGGGAGUACGUUCGCAAGAAUGAAACUCAAAGGAAUUGACGGGGGCCCGCACAAGCGGAGGAACAUGUGGUUUAAUUCGAUGAUACGCGAGGAACCUUACCCGGGCUUGAAAGUUAGCGACGGACCGAGAAAUCGGUCUUCCCCUUCGGGGCGCGAAACUAGGUGCUGCAUGGUUGUCGU